RNAcentral lists this ribosomal RNA (510 nucleotides) under uncultured bacterium. Its description in RNAcentral is "partial 16S ribosomal RNA". It matches the Rfam family "Bacterial small subunit ribosomal RNA", at positions 28 to 507 of the family's 1533-position model. The record is from RNAcentral.
GACGAACGCUGGCGGCGUGCUUAACACAUGCAAGUCGAACGAAGAGCGAUGGAAGCUUGCUUCUAUCAAUCUUAGUGGCGAACGGGAGAGUAACGCGUAAUCAACCUGCCCUUCAGAGGGGGACAACAGUUGGAAACGACUGCUAAUACCGCAUACGAUCUAAUCUCGGCAUCGAGGAUAGAUGAAAGGUGGCCUCUACAUGUAAGCUAUCACUGAAGGAGGGGAUUGCGUCUGAUUAGCUAGUUGGAGGGGUAACGGCCCACCAAGGCGAUGAUCAGUGGCCGGUCUGAGAGGAUGAACGGCCACAUUGGGCCUGAGACACGGCCCAGACUCCUACGGGAGGGAGCAGUGGGGAAUCUUCCGCAAUGGACGAAAGUCUGACGGAGCAACGCCGCGUGAGUGAUGACGGCCUUCGGGUUGUAAAGCUCUGUUAAUCGGGACGAAAGGCCUUCUUGCGAAUAGUGAGAAGGAUUGACGGUACCGGAAUAGAAAGCCACGGCUAACUACGUG